CUGUCAGAGAUCAGCUGUUCUUCUCUGGCUUCAGCUCUGAGGUCAAACCCCUCUCAUCUGAGAGAACUGGAUCUGAGUAACAACGAGCUGCAGGACUCAGGAGUGAAGGAGCUGUGUGGUYUUCUACAGAGUCCAACCUGUCCACUGGAGACUCUGAGGUUGGAGUACUGCAGACUGUCAGAGAUCAGCUGUUCUUCUCUGGCUUCAGCUCUGAGGUCAAACCCCUCUCAUCUGA
Paralichthys olivaceus (Japanese flounder) is the source of this 235-nucleotide non-coding RNA. Lineage: Eukaryota; Metazoa; Chordata; Actinopteri; Pleuronectiformes; Paralichthyidae. The record is from RefSeq and is a predicted model, not a curated record.